This 285-nucleotide ribosomal RNA is filed under the name Escherichia coli. RNAcentral's name for it is "partial 16S ribosomal RNA". It matches the Rfam family "Bacterial small subunit ribosomal RNA", at positions 1 to 282 of the family's 1533-position model. The record is from RNAcentral. Lineage: Bacteria; Pseudomonadati; Pseudomonadota; Gammaproteobacteria; Enterobacterales; Enterobacteriaceae.
AAAUUGAAGAGUUUGAUCAUGGCUCAGAUUGAACGCUGGCGGCAGGCCUAACACAUGCAAGUCGAACGGUAACAGGAAGAAGCUUGCUUCUUUGCUGACGAGUGGCGGACGGGUGAGUAAUGUCUGGGAAACUGCCUGAUGGAGGGGGAUAACUACUGGAAACGGUAGCUAAUACCGCAUAACGUCGCAAGACCAAAGAGGGGGACCUUCGGGCCUCUUGCCAUCGGAUGUGCCCAGAUGGGAUUAGCUUGUUGGUGGGGUAACGGCUCACCAAGGCGACGAUCC